RNAcentral lists this ribosomal RNA (200 nucleotides) under uncultured bacterium. RNAcentral describes it as "partial 16S ribosomal RNA". It matches the Rfam family "Bacterial small subunit ribosomal RNA", at positions 28 to 232 of the family's 1533-position model. The record is from RNAcentral.
GAUGAACGCUAGCUGGAGGCUUAAUACAUGCAAGUCGAGCGGGAUUGGUAGCAAUACCAUGAGAGCGGCGCACGGGUGAGUAACGCGUACACGACCUACCUCUAACAGGGGGAUAGCCCUGGGAAACUGGGAUUAAUACCGCAUAUAAUUCUGAUAAAUAAAUGAUUGGAAUGAAAGUUUAGGCGGUUAGAGAUGGGUGU